Long non-coding RNA from Homo sapiens (human), 359 nucleotides. RefSeq lists it as uncharacterized. The transcript has 2 exons. NCBI's taxonomy places the organism in Eukaryota, Metazoa, Chordata, Mammalia, Primates, Hominidae. The record is from RefSeq and is a predicted model, not a curated record.
CUGGGCUGGCCUGCUGAAUGAUGACAGAGGAGUGGCCAAGUCACUCAUUGUUGUCCCAUUUGUCAGCCAGCCAGCCACCAGACAUGUGCUAAGAAGAAAAUAAACAGAGAACGUCUUGCAGUGGGCAGCCAUUUCAGGAGGUAAAUGCCGGGGGGUGGUGUUUGAACAGUGACGGAAGGACAUGAAGAAGCGAGCGUGUGAAGGUGUGGAAGAAGUACAAUCCAUGCAGAAGAACCAGCAAGCCUUCUUUCCAUCUGGCAGUAUUAUGCAAGAUUCGGAACGAAUCUCCUCCUCCUCUCUUGCCUCUUCUCUUUUCUUUUAAAAAACCAAUUGAGAUUAUUAAAACCAAGAGGCCCCUA